Molecule: ribosomal RNA, 254 nt
Filed under: uncultured bacterium
Lineage: Bacteria
Description: partial 16S ribosomal RNA
Rfam family: Bacterial small subunit ribosomal RNA
Source: RNAcentral
UACGAAGGGGGGCUAGCGUUGCUCGGAAUUACUGGGCGUAAAGGGCGCGUAGGCGGCCUUCUAAGUCGAACGUGAAAUCCCCGGGCUCAACCCGGGAACUGCGUCCGAUACUGGAAGGCUUGAAUCCGGGAGAGGGAUGUGGAAUUCCUGGUGUAGCGGUGGAAUGCGCAGAUAUCAGGAGGAAUACCCAUAGCGAAGGCAGCUCGCUGGGACGUUACUGACGCUGAGGCGCGAAAGCGUGGGGAGCGAACAGG